Non-coding RNA from Oncorhynchus mykiss (rainbow trout), 875 nucleotides. The record is from RefSeq and is a predicted model, not a curated record. NCBI's taxonomy places the organism in Eukaryota, Metazoa, Chordata, Actinopteri, Salmoniformes, Salmonidae.
CUGGACCCAUAGUUAUAUGGUCAAAAGGCUCUGGUUAAUAGUAGUGCUAUAAAUAGGGAAUAGGGUGCCAUUUAGGCCUGAUUUGAUGACAUGAUGAUGGCUAGUAAUUCCACUAUUAACAACAACAAACGAACAUGCUCCUCUGAAACCAAACCUUUUCUUUAGGUUUAAUUGAAGAUAUUGGUACAUUAUGCAGACACAUAAAUAAAAUGUGAUAUCAUACAAUAUAAACACAAUUCAAUUACAAGAUCAGCCUAACUACAUGGACAGAUGUUUGGUGUCUUGUAGUAUUUCUUCAACUUAGAGAAAAUAAUCCUUUAUUGUUUAUUCAUUAAGAUCAUGAUCCCACCCUGGACCAGGAGGACCCAGUCCUUGUUCAGGUAAGAAUACUGUAGGCCUAUCAAUAGUCUGGGUACCGGUCGGUUUCUGCUCUCUUGCCAAUUCCAUUGUGGCAAAAUGAUAUUUGCAUGACAAUCCCAUAAGAAGUUGUCAGAGAGCUGAAACCGCCUGGCACCCAGGCUAUAACAAUACUGCUUCAUUAUCAGGACUGGUUCAAUAACAAUCUGACAUUCAAACUGUAAUUUUACUGACUUGAAAAUGGAUCCUGAUUUAUUCCUUAGGUUGUGGAUGAGGAGGUUGGGCAGCGUCCCUGUCUGGCUUUAGUCCCUUGGUCUGGACCUCUGUGGGUUCCCAGCUCUCUGACUUAUUACCUUACCCUUGCUGGGAGGAUGAUAGUGAGAGAGCUGGCAGUGUUAAACACACAGAUUUUCAUGAUGGAGCAGCCUAUUUCCAUCUGUUUCACUCCUGUAGGGAGGAUGGUGUGGGAGGAACUGACUUCUCAAACUGAACAGGUAGCCAUUCAUAUGCAGAUACUU